GGCCCCGGCUGGCCGGCCCCCUCCGCCAGGGACUGUCCUGACGCCCAGCUCGCUGCCCGGCGGGAGGGGCCCGGGAGCUGGGGCUGCUCGGCCCCCGCCGCGCUGCGGAUCCCGCCCUGUCCGCUCCAGGGGGCGCGGGGCCUGCGCUGCCGCGUGUUUAUCCGACCCCCGACCGUCCCCGCCGCGCGCCUACAACUCGUGUUUAAAGCGGCCGAACGCUGUCCCGCCACAGGGCCUUGUGCAGCGACGCGUCCUGUGCGCGUGGUUGGCUGUUUGAUUGCGGAGUCGGCACAGACACCCGGCAAUCCGGCGUAGCCGAGCCAAUGCCAAGUGUAUAGAACCUGAGAGCAGAAGGAACCGACACAGGAGGUUUAAAAAUCCCACGGAAAUCUGACAGCAGCAUAACAAUUCAUCAAUGUACUGGAGGCUCUAAAUGACAGUCACUGCAGAGACAAAGGGAGCUGAAAGAACCAGCAAAGGUGGUGGACGCCUUCAGCCUCCCUGCUUAUAGCAUCCCCUGCAGGGCAAGAGGAAGAAGUUGAGGCAUAACAGCAAAAGCACUUGAGAAGCUGCCUUGCAGUGAGG
This is a long non-coding RNA of Mauremys mutica (yellowpond turtle), 585 nucleotides long. RefSeq lists it as uncharacterized. NCBI's taxonomy places the organism in Eukaryota, Metazoa, Chordata, Testudines, Geoemydidae. The transcript has 3 exons. The record is from RefSeq and is a predicted model, not a curated record.